This 284-nucleotide long non-coding RNA is filed under the name Rattus norvegicus (Norway rat). Its description in RNAcentral is "long non-coding RNA NONRATT012339". Lineage: Eukaryota; Metazoa; Chordata; Mammalia; Rodentia; Muridae. The record is from RNAcentral.
UGUGCUUUAAGACAGGGACUGCUUUCGGGAAACACGCGGGAUAGGAAAGGGUCUUUCCUUCACCCUUCCUAAGGUCCUGCUGGGCCACCCUCCUUCGUACACCACGGAUGUUGCUGCUCCAGUCUCUGCUGUGUCCCUGCCGCCUGCUGUCCUUUCCCCUCCUCUGCCAGAUACUCUGCUGCCUACUGUCCCUGAGCUCCUGCCCAAGCUCCCCAGCUCUCUGGCCCCUACGGUGGUCGCAGCUUCUCAGAGUGUGCCCACACAGACCUCUACACUCCUCCCAC